ACUGGAGCUGUUCCUAUUCGGCCAUCUUGGCUCCUCCGCAUUUGUUUUUAUGGUGGUUUUGUAUUGUUUUUAUAGAGCUGCCCUCACAUGCUUCAGCAACAUUAGAUGUUCUGGAGACUGGAAAGUCCAAGAUCAUGGUGCCUGAGGAUUCAGUGUCUGGUGGACCCUAUUUAAUGUGGGAGAGGAAUACAUAAAAAGGUGGAUAUCAUGAGGUGAAAAUCAUUGGAGACCAUCUUGGAAGCUGUCUAACGCAACAAGAAUUAUUUUAUUUAUGAUUUAUUUGAAGUCUUUUUUUAUUUAUAAUCUGUUUUACUUGGAAUGAUUGGUUAUCAGACUCAGCACGUUUUCAAAUCUGUAUAACAGAUGCUAUCUUGUUUGUCAUUAGGUAAGUUCACCUGAAACCCUCAGGCAAGCCUUUCAGAACUAAUGCCUGUUGUAAUUCCCUUAUUUCUUAUGUGAUUUAAAUUGUGAAAAGCCCAUAUUUCUUUUGAAAAAUCAUUGCUUGUCUUUUGUCUCUGAUGUUAGCAUGUUUUCAGGCAAUGUUUUUGAAGUUAAAUAUAUUUGUUGUUUAGAGAUGACUUUUCUCUGCCCUUUUAUUUUACAUACAAGGGUACUAGUAUCCAGAGAGGUCAAGUGGCUAAGGAUGCAAAAUUUGUAAUAAAAUUUAGGUUUUCUGAAUCUUAAUCUUUAGUAUUU
RNAcentral lists this long non-coding RNA (696 nucleotides) under Homo sapiens (human). RNAcentral's name for it is "non-protein coding LINC02315:17". The record is from RNAcentral. Lineage: Eukaryota; Metazoa; Chordata; Mammalia; Primates; Hominidae.